ACCUACCUUUUUCUAGAANAUAGCCUGAGGAAACUCGGAUUAAUAUUCUAUAAUACAGUAUUUUCGCAUGAAAAUAUUAUUAAAGCAGAAAUGUGGAANAAGAUGGGCAUGCGCCCGAUUAGUUAGUUGGUGGGGUAAAGGCCUACCAAGACGAUGAUCGGUAGGGGGCCUGAUAGGGUGAUCCCCCACACUGGUACUGAGAUACGGACCAGACUCCUACGGGAGGCAGCAGUGAGGAAUAUUGGUCAAUGGAGGAAACUCUGAACCAGCCACGCCGCGUGCAGGACGAAUGCCUUAUGGGUUGUAAACUGCUUUUGUUUAGKAAUAAAAAUUUCUACGUGAUAGAAAUUGUGAAGGUACUAAACGAAUAAGUGUCGGCAAACUCCGUGCCAGCAGCCGCGGUAAUACGGAGGACACAAGCGUUAUCCGGAUUUAUUGGGUUUAAAGAGUGCGUAGGCGGUUUAUUAAGUCAGUAGUGAAAUGUUACAGCUUAACUGUUAAAAUGGCUAAUGAUACUGAUAGACUUGAGUGAGAUUGGAGUAAUUGGAAUGUGUGGUGUAGCGGUGAAAUGCAUAGAGAUCACACAGAACACCGAUCGCGAAAGCAGGUUACUAAAUCUAUACUGACGCUGAGGCACGAAAGCGUGGGGAGCAAACAGGAUUAGAUACCCUGGUAGUCCACGCCGUAAACGAUGAUCACUAGUCGUUGGAUUUUAUUAUUCAGUGGCUAAGCGAAAGUGAUAAGUGAUCCACCUGGGGAGUACGAUCGCAAGGUUGAAACUCAANGGAAUUGACGGGGGCCCGCACAAGCGGUGGAGCAUGUGGUUUAAUUCGAUGAUACGCGAGGAACCUUACCAAGGUUUAAAUGUACUACGAAUAAGCUAGAAAUAGUUUAGUCUUCGGACGUAGUACAAGAUGCUGCAUGGUUGUCGUCAGCUCGUGCCCUGAGGUGUUGGGUUAAGUCCCUCAACGAGCGCAACCCUCAUUGUUAGUUGCCAACGAAUAAUGUCGGGGACUCUAGCAAGACUGCCGACGUAAGUCGAGAGGAAGGUGGGGACGACGUCAAAUCAUCACGGCUCUUAUAUCUUGGGCUACACACGUGCUACAAUGGUCGGUACAAAGGGUUGCUA
RNAcentral lists this ribosomal RNA (1129 nucleotides) under Blattabacterium cuenoti. Its description in RNAcentral is "bacterial SSU rRNA". It matches the Rfam family "Bacterial small subunit ribosomal RNA", at positions 124 to 1252 of the family's 1533-position model. The record is from RNAcentral. Lineage: Bacteria; Pseudomonadati; Bacteroidota; Flavobacteriia; Flavobacteriales; Blattabacteriaceae.